AGCCAGCAGCCGCGGUAAUACGGAGGGUGCAAGCGUUGUUCGGAAUCACUGGGCGUAAAGGGCGCGUAGGCGGUCUUGCAAGUCUGAUGUGAAAGCCCGGGGCUUAACCCCGGAAGUGCAUUGGAAACUGCAAGACUUGAGUUCGGGAGAGGAAGGCAGAAUUCCCGGUGUAGGGUUGAAAUCCGUAGAUAUCGGGAGGAAAACCGGUGGCGAAGGCGGCCUUCUGGAACGAAACUGACGCUGAGGCGCGAAAGCGUGGGGAGCAAACAGGAUUAGAGACCCUGGUAGUCCACGCGGUAAACGAUGGAUGCUGGGUGUGGGGUUCAAUACGGAGCUCCGUGCCGAAGCUAACGCAUUAAGCAUCCCGCCUGGGGAGUACGGUCGCAAGACUAAAACUUAAAGGAAUUGGCGGGGGAU
RNAcentral lists this ribosomal RNA (417 nucleotides) under uncultured bacterium. RNAcentral's name for it is "bacterial SSU rRNA". It matches the Rfam family "Bacterial small subunit ribosomal RNA", at positions 506 to 921 of the family's 1533-position model. The record is from RNAcentral.